Molecule: ribosomal RNA, 1385 nt
Filed under: uncultured bacterium
Lineage: Bacteria
Description: bacterial SSU rRNA
Rfam family: Bacterial small subunit ribosomal RNA
Source: RNAcentral
GACGAACGCUGGCGGCGUGCCUAAUACAUGCAAGUCGAGCGAGCGGAACUAACAGAUUUACUUCGGUAAUGACGUUAGGAAAGCGAGCGGCGGAUGGGUGAGUAACACGUGGGGAACCUGCCCCAUAGUCUGGGAUACCACUUGGAAACAGGUGCUAAUACCGGAUAAGAAAGCAGAUCGCAUGAUCAGCUUUUAAAAGGCGGCGUAAGCUGUCGCUAUGGGAUGGCCCCGCGGUGCAUUAGCUAGUUGGUAAGGUAAAGGCUUACCAAGGCGAUGAUGCAUAGCCGAGUUGAGAGACUGAUCGGCCACAUUGGGACUGAGACACGGCCCAAACUCCUACGGGAGGCAGCAGUAGGGAACCUUCCACAAUGGACGCAAGUCUGAUGGAGCAACGCUGCGUGAGUGAAGAAGGUUUUCGGAUCGUAAAGCUCUGUUGUUGGUGAAGAAGGAUAGAGGUAGUAACUGGCCUUUAUUUGACGGUAAUCAACCAGAAAGUCACGGCUAACUACGUGCCAGCAGCCGCGGUAAUACGUAGGUGGCAAGCGUUGUCCGGAUUUAUUGGGCGUAAAGCGAGCGCAGGCGGAAGAAUAAGUCUGAUGUGAAAGCCCUCGGCUUAACCGAGGAACUGCAUCGGAAACUGUUUUUCUUGAGUGCAGAAGAGGAGAGUGGAACUCCAUGUGUAGCGGUGGAAUGCGUAGAUAUAUGGAAGAACACCAGUGGCGAAGGCGGCUCUCUGGUCUGCAACUGACGCUGAGGCUCGAAAGCAUGGGUAGCGAACAGGAUUAGAUACCCUGGUAGUCCAUGCCGUAAACGAUGAGUGCUAAGUGUUGGGAGGUUUCCGCCUCUCAGUGCUGCAGCUAACGCAUUAAGCACUCCGCCUGGGGAGUACGACCGCAAGGUUGAAACUCAAAGGAAUUGACGGGGGCCCGCACAAGCGGUGGAGCAUGUGGUUUAAUUCGAAGCAACGCGAAGAACCUUACCAGGUCUUGACAUCUAGUGCCAUUUGUAGGGAUACAAAGUUCCCUUCGGGGACGCUAAGACAGGUGGUGCAUGGCUGUCGUCAGCUCGUGUCGUGAGAUGUUGGGUUAAGUCCCGCAACGAGCGCAACCCUUGUUAUUAGUUGCCAGCAUUAAGUUGGGCACUCUAAUGAGACUGCCGGUGACAAACCGGAGGAAGGUGGGGAUGACGUCAAGUCAUCAUGCCCCUUAUGACCUGGGCUACACACGUGCUACAAUGGGCAGUACAACGAGAAGCGAGCCUGCGAAGGCAAGCGAAUCUCUGAAAGCUGUUCUCAGUUCGGACUGCAGUCUGCAACUCGACUGCACGAAGCUGGAAUCGCUAGUAAUCGCGGAUCAGCACGCCGCGGUGAAUACGUUCCCGGGCCU